RNAcentral lists this ribosomal RNA (465 nucleotides) under uncultured bacterium. RNAcentral's name for it is "partial 16S ribosomal RNA". It matches the Rfam family "Bacterial small subunit ribosomal RNA", at positions 28 to 507 of the family's 1533-position model. The record is from RNAcentral.
GACGAACGCUGGCGGCGUGCUUAACACAUGCAAGUCGAACGGAAAGGCCCCUUUGGGGGUACUCGAGUGGCGGACGGGUGAGUAACACGUACGUAACCUGCCCUUGACUUAGGGAUAACUUCAGUAAACUGGGUCUAAUACCGGCUAGGAAUCCUUGCUGCAUGGUGGGGGUUGGAAAGAUUCGUCGGGUUUGGAUGGAUUCGCGGGCUAUCUGUGUGUUGGUGGGGUAGGGGCUGACCAAGGCGUUGAUGGGCGGCUAGCCUGUGAGGGCGAGCGGCCACAUUGGGGCUGAGAGACGGCCCAGACUCCCACGGGAGGCAGAGGUGGGGAAUAUUGCACAAUGGGCGGAAGCGUGAUGCAGAAAAGCCGCGUGCGGGAUGACGGGCUUCGGGUUGUAAAACGCGUUCAGCAGGGGCGAAGCUUGUGGUGACGGUACCUGCAGAAGAAGCACCGGCUAACUACGUG